AAAAGUCUAAUGUAAACAAGGGCAAAUCGUAUAGUUCCCAUGUAAAUAGGGGCAAAUAAUAAAAUUCCCCCUCAUGUCUCAUACUCUCUCACUAUCCACUCUCCCACUAUCCGCUCGUCUCUCUCACCCUCCACAGCCGCUCCACAACCGGUAAUCCCCGCGAUGCAGGUGACGGUGAGGGGACGGCGAUGGAGUCCCAGCGAUCCCCGCGACGGAGGGGACGGCGGCGUCGGGUCUCUCCCGGCCAUCUAAUGGAGGGGAUGGGAAGGGGACGGACCGGCCUGCCCGGCGAUCCCCGCGAGGGAGGGGAGGAGACGGCGGCCAUCCGACAAAGGGGAGGAGAAGGCGAAGGGACCGGCCUGUCCCGGAGAUCCCCGCGAUGGAUGGAGGUGAAGGCGACGGAGGGAAGGGGACAGCGCGAAGCGCUUGUCGGGGCGGCUGAGGAGGGAAGGAGCGGAGGCGAUGAUGUUUGUAGAGGCCGGAGAGGGGAGGAGCGGCGGCUGCGGCAUCUAACGUGACCGGCGAGAAGAGAAGCGGUGGCGGCGGCGGGUGGCUGUCGGCUGACGGAGCUAGGGGAGGAAGGAGUGGGCGGCGGCCACUCCGGCGCAACUUCACAUGCCCGGAUACAGAAGGUGUGAUUGUUCUGAAUAUCCUUAGCUACAUGGGUGGUGUGAACUUUGGCAAAACGACAAUGACAAGAAUCUGAAUGCACUUAAGAAGCAUAAUCUUGUAAGGCCGUCGAUGCUUGAGCCCGAGGAUCUGGUCGCAAGUCAUAUUCUCCUCGAUUGACUUGCUCCUACAAGCAAAAGUUGACCAUUGAUCAAGAAUUUGUUAAUUUUAGGGCAUUUCGUGUUUUUAGGGACCGUGAGUUUUCUCGUAUUCCUAGAGGAUACUAUGAAUUACCCGGCGAGACGAUAAUUACUGAACCUGCCACCAAAGUGGAGUGGUCAGAAUUGCAAGGCGCUCUGUGUGUACAUGCUUAUGGUAGAAAUCCCGAAUUGUACCACAUCAAGCCUGGGUGUGUACCAUCGGAAGGAUUGGUCCUCCUCUUAAAUCAAGAGGAUGUAGAUGAAAUGGUGAGAGCCCAUCAAGAUACCAAAAAGUAUGAUUUGUACAUUGUGGCAAAUCAUCAUUUUCGAGGCGAUGGUUAC
Molecule: long non-coding RNA, 1151 nt
Organism: Lolium perenne
Lineage: Eukaryota; Viridiplantae; Streptophyta; Magnoliopsida; Poales; Poaceae
Source: RefSeq, a predicted model, not a curated record